UACGAAGGGGGCGAGCGUUGUUCGGAUUUACUGGGCGUAAAGGGCGCGCAGGCGGCGUAUCAAGUCAGGCGUGAAAGCCCCGGGCUUAACCUGGGAGGUGCGUCUGGGACUGGUGUGCUAGAGUUCGGGAGAGGAGAGUGGAAUUCCCAGUGUAGAGGUGAAAUGUGUAGAUAUAUUGAAGAACACCAAUAACGGCGAAGGCAGUUAACUAUUCUGUUACUGACGUUGAGGCACGAAAGCGUGGGGAGCAAAAAGG
RNAcentral lists this ribosomal RNA (256 nucleotides) under uncultured bacterium. RNAcentral describes it as "partial 16S ribosomal RNA". It matches the Rfam family "Bacterial small subunit ribosomal RNA", at positions 524 to 776 of the family's 1533-position model. The record is from RNAcentral.